CAAAUGGGGAGCUGGUGAUAAACCGGCUGAGAGUAGGCUGUCAGCCUUGACCCUUUGAACCUGUCCGGAUAAUGCCGACGUAGGGAGAAAUAUAU
RNAcentral lists this non-coding RNA (95 nucleotides) under uncultured Treponema sp. Lineage: Bacteria; Pseudomonadati; Spirochaetota; Spirochaetia; Treponematales; Treponemataceae. The record is from RNAcentral.